Molecule: long non-coding RNA, 2807 nt
Organism: Malaclemys terrapin pileata
Lineage: Eukaryota; Metazoa; Chordata; Testudines; Emydidae
Exons: 6
Source: RefSeq, a predicted model, not a curated record
UAGCCUCGUACUGUGGACGCGGUCUGCCGACUAGAGCACCUAGAGCAUUUUAUUGUGUGGACAUACACAAUCGGCUGUAUACAACCGAUUUCAAUAAAACCUGCUUCUAUAAAUUCGAACUAAUUUCGUAGUGUAGACAUACCCAAGGAAACUCAGAUGGAAUAGUUCAGCCUAAUACAAGUGUUUAAAGUUAAUGAGCAGCACAUUCAUAGCCUUUGUAUUUUUACAUUCUGAGAAUCUUUAUUCAAUAAUAUGGCAGAGGUAUAAGGUUAACUAGUGGUGACCUUUUUCUAAACGUGGUAAGUAUCAACAUAAUUCUUCUGGAUAAUGAUCCUAAGUCCGACAGUGAGUGAAUAAGGUCUGGGAAGCACAGGUCAUGUAAAUACUGUCCCAGGGAUGGAUUUUCAAGCACUCAGGACCCACUCUCAGGGCCAGAUUUUUAAAAGAGCUCAGCACAUUAGUUAUUGGUACAGGUUUUACAAAUGAGGCUUUAUUUAGGUGUCUGUGGGAGAAGAGUUCUUUUGAAAAACUGACCCCAGUUGAGGGUGCUGAGCCCUUCUGAAAAUUCCAGUUCCAGUGUCUGUGUUUGCUUUGGCCUGUGUCUUUCCUUGAGUAUCCCUGCCGUGAUCUAGGAAACUAUUUUAUUCUCGUGCUCUCUGUAGCUUGCCUUUCACAAAGCAGGUGAGCGCUCUCCUUUGAGGCAGACAGCGGGAAUCCUCCUGCAGGAAGGACUUGUAACAGAUAUCCCUCAGGCACCUUGUACCAUCACAGCCCCCAGCCCCUGUAACACAGCUGUGCUCCACUAGCUACUGGGAGAAAGAGACUCAGACUUAUUCCUGUCUGAUACCCAUGUUGCAGCUCUGGCACUAAGCCAACAUUCAUUAAUAAGCCUUUAAAUGCUGUGGCAAGGGCAAAAUUUCUCCAUCUGUAUGUACUAUUGUAAACUUUUUCCAUAUCCUUCCAUUUAGCAAACUCUUUAGCUUGUUUUAUCUCUGCUACAAAUGUAUUUUCCCCUCUCCCCAUAUCUUCUCAUUCUGUCCAACUCAUUGUGGCCAGUAGACUAGGGUUAUUUUUAAAAACCUGAUUAAUUUUUUUCCUACUGCUAGCGUUAAAAAUGAAUGCAUAGAGAGAUCAAACAAGGAGAGAUUAAAGAGAGAACCGUAAAUUGUUCUAAAAAUAGAUCCUUUUCUCUUCAAGUCUCAUGAAUCUGUUGCACACAGUACAGCUUAGUUUCUUUAAAAGGAACAAGCCCCUUCAUUUCUGUUGAUGAUAGAAGCACUGUUUAUAAAUCUCCUGAUGAAAGCAGAACAUAAUUUAAACACUGUACCAUAGAAGAUGUUGGCAUCUGUUAAGGAUUUUUGUGUGAGAGAGUGAGUGUAAGAUGUUCUAAGACUUUUUUUUUCCAAAUUUUUAAAAAGUUUAUUUCCAAGUCACUCUCAGCACAUGGUAAAGUUAACAUUUUUUCAGGAUUGUCUGGUUCUGGAUUCCACUGCUUUAUUUAUUAACCAGCCAUGUGUGUAGAAGAAAGAAUUUUAAAAAUCAAAGCUCACAUUUUUUUUAGCCUUUCCCUAAUGCUUGAGAGGUAUCUGUUCUGUAAACAAUAUAUGGCAGAGAGCUCAAAGGAAAUGAGUAAACCCCUUACAGUGAAGCACAUUUUAGCAGCUUGCUUAGCUGAGUGCUUUUUGUUUAUUUGUUAAAAUCCAUUGCCAAAUAUGGAGUGAAGAUUUACUCAGAAGAAACUGCUUUACCAAGGAAUUGAUUCUGUCUCACUGACUCAAGACUGUGCAGAAGAGAGAUAAGUAGUGUCUUGGCUUCUUGAGUUAUCAGAGUCACCAAAUCAUCACUUUUUUCCGAUGACUGUCUUAGCUCCAUGGAAUACCUUGUCUGAACUAGUAGGAGAAAGAAAACAGUGAUAGGCCCUGACUCUUUCAUCCAUUUUUUUCAGUUUCUCAUUUCCUUUUCUCUAUCAGCAGCAGAGAGAAGCUUUGCUCUGCAAUCCCACCUAUAAGGACCUCAAAUCCUUUUGGAGAACAGACUUGGGAACCCUGUUCUGGGACCUGAUCCCUGCUUCAAUCAGAAAUAGCACAUUAUUAGAAGAAAAACUGUUCUCAUGGUGUUUGCAUCCUGCCUGGAACCACUGUACAUCUGAGAAGGAGGAAGCCUUUUCUUACGUGACUCCAGCAGAUGCAAAAGGUUUGGAGGCAACUUAGAUAAGACUGCACAACAUCACAGCGACAAUCAAUCCCUGAAUCGACGCGCGUACUCCACCAGUGCAGGUAGGAGUAAGCGCUGUCGACGGGGGAGCCACGGUGGUCGAUUUGCCGUCAUCCUCACAGCGGUGGUCGAUUUGCCGUCAUCCUCACAGCGGAGGUAUGAGAAAAAAGCUGCAACGUAAAAAAAACAACCAACUGGGAGGUUACUGAUUAAAAGCCAAGAAUACAAGACAGGAACAACUGUUAGGCUACGCAAUUGCUGAAGAUAAUUAAAGCAUCUGAAGCAAGCUGAGUUGAACAGCAAGUAAACAAAUGAACAGAACACUCCACCCUUCCUCUUAUUUGAACGCUGUGCAGUUAAUUGAGAAUGUGAUCGACCAGUCCUUCCCUUGCUGCCAGGGCAAACUCUUGUAAAUUUACGUCGCCAGUCUUCUACAGAGCAACAGCAGCACUUGCCCUUCCGCUUGCCGUUUGUUUGGACAGCCAGUGGCACUGCUCAGGGAGAAAGCAGCAGCACAGGAACGCCGUCUGAGUACUCUACAGGAUGUGGUGUACAUUGGAGUAAUAGUCAUGCUGAAGUGCCGCUGUCUUGAC